AUUGAGCCUGUCUAGGGCUGCAGGUGCUUAUGGGAGCCUAUGGGGACAUCACAUCACAACAGUGACAUCACAGGCCAGUUCUCUAGAGGGAAGGGAGGAGCUAAACUCCAUUUCUGUCACCCCAGGAGCCCAGCACUCUGAGCAGGGACAUGCCUGCCCCUGUCCUGCCUGACUCUGCCUGGGGAACCAGGAUCCUCUGCUGUGCUGCCCUUUGUCUCCUGGGAGCAGGUUCAGUGGAUGUUGGAGUCAUCCAGACCCCAAGAUACCUAAUCACAGAAAAGAGGGGACAGGCCACUCUGAAAUGCUAUCCCUUUCCUGGACAUGACACUGUGUACUGGUACCAGCAGACUCCAGGCCAGGGUCCCCAGUUCCUCAUUUCUUAUUAUGCAAAGAUGGAGUAUGGUAAAGGCAACAUCCCUGACCGAUUCUCAGCUGAGCAGUUCAGUGACCACCACUCUGAAAUGAACAUGAGCUCCUUGGAGCUGGGGGACUCAGCCUUGUACCUCUGUGCCAGCAGUAUAGACACAGCCCUGCAGAGCCACUGGUUUUCUGUACCCAAACCUUCCUGUUCCAGCUGA
Tupaia belangeri chinensis (Chinese tree shrew) is the source of this 578-nucleotide non-coding RNA. NCBI's taxonomy places the organism in Eukaryota, Metazoa, Chordata, Mammalia, Scandentia, Tupaiidae. The record is from the annotation of a RefSeq genome assembly.